GCCUAGUUAGCUUAGCUGGUAGUGCGUCUGCCUUGUAAGCGCUAGGCCGCGGGUUCGAUUCCCGCCCGGGGCA
RNAcentral lists this transfer RNA (73 nucleotides) under Diaphorina citri (Asian citrus psyllid). It matches the Rfam family "tRNA". Rfam says of the family: Transfer RNA (tRNA) molecules are approximately 80 nucleotides in length. Their secondary structure includes four short double-helical elements and three loops (D, anti-codon, and T loops). The record is from Rfam by way of RNAcentral. Lineage: Eukaryota; Metazoa; Arthropoda; Insecta; Hemiptera; Psyllidae.